CAAUAGCGUAUAUUUAAGUUGUUGCAGUUAAAAAGCUCGUGGUUGGAUUUCGGAUGGGAUUUGCCGGUCCGUCGUUACGAUGUGCACUGGCCAGUCCUAUCUUGUUGUCGGGGACUAGCUCCUUGGAUUCACUUCCUGGGACUAGGAGCUGACGAGGUUACUUUGAGUAAAUUAGAGUGUUCAAAGCAAGCCUACGCUCUGAAUACAUUAGCAUGGAAUAACACGAUAGGACUCUGGCUUAUCUUGUUGGUCUGUGAGACCAGAGUAAUGAUUAAGAGGGACAGUCGGGGACAUUCGUAUUUCAUUGUCAGAGGUGAAAUUCUUGGAUUUAUGAAAGACGAACUUCUGCGAAAGCAUUUGUCAAGGAUGUUUUCAUUA
This 378-nucleotide ribosomal RNA is filed under the name uncultured eukaryote. Its description in RNAcentral is "partial 18S ribosomal RNA". It matches the Rfam family "Eukaryotic small subunit ribosomal RNA", at positions 592 to 975 of the family's 1831-position model. The record is from RNAcentral.